Molecule: ribosomal RNA, 1168 nt
Filed under: Bacillus sp. (in: firmicutes)
Lineage: Bacteria; Bacillati; Bacillota; Bacilli; Caryophanales; Bacillaceae
Description: bacterial SSU rRNA
Rfam family: Bacterial small subunit ribosomal RNA
Source: RNAcentral
AAGGGGCGGGUUCUAUACAUGCAGUCGAGCGAAUGGAUUAAGAGCUUGCUCUUAUGAAGUUAGCGGCGGACGGGUGAGUAACACGUGGGUAACCUGCCCAUAAGACUGGGAUAACUCCGGGAAACCGGGGCUAAUACCGGAUAACAUUUUGAACCGCAUGGUUCGAAAUUGAAAGGCGGCUUCGGCUGUCACUUAUGGAUGGACCCGCGUCGCAUUAGCUAGUUGGUGAGGUAACGGCUCACCAAGGCAACGAUGCGUAGCCGACCUGAGAGGGUGAUCGGCCACACUGGGACUGAGACACGGCCCAGACUCCUACGGGAGGCAGCAGUAGGGAAUCUUCCGCAAUGGACGAAAGUCUGACGGAGCAACGCCGCGUGAGUGAUGAAGGCUUUCGGGUCGUAAAACUCUGUUGUUAGGGAAGAACAAGUGCUAGUUGAAUAAGCUGGCACCUUGACGGUACCUAACCAGAAAGCCACGGCUAACUACGUGCCAGCAGCCGCGGUAAUACGUAGGUGGCAAGCGUUAUCCGGAAUUAUUGGGCGUAAAGCGCGCGCAGGUGGUUUCUUAAGUCUGAUGUGAAAGCCCACGGCUCAACCGUGGAGGGUCAUUGGAAACUGGGAGACUUGAGUGCAGAAGAGGAAAGUGGAAUUCCAUGUGUAGCGGUGAAAUGCGUAGAGAUAUGGAGGAACACCAGUGGCGAAGGCGACUUUCUGGUCUGUAACUGACACUGAGGCGCGAAAGCGUGGGGAGCAAACAGGAUUAGAUACCCUGGUAGUCCACGCCGUAAACGAUGAGUGCUAAGUGUUAGAGGGUUUCCGCCCUUUAGUGCUGAAGUUAACGCAUUAAGGCACUCCGCCUGGGGAGUACGGCCGCAAGGCUGAAACUCAAAGGAAUUGACGGGGGCCCGCACAAGCGGGUGGAGCAUGGUGGUUUAAUUUCGAAGCAACGCGAAGAACCUUUACCAGGUCUUGACAUCCUCUGACACCCCUAGAGAUAGGGCUUCUCUUCGGGAGCAGAGUGACAGGUGGGUGCAUGAUGUCGUCAGCUCGUGUCGUGAGAUGGUGGGAUAGUUCCCGCACGAGGCGCAUCCCAUGAAUCUAGCUGCCAUCAUAGUGGUCACUCUAGGUACUGCAGUGACAGCCGAGUAGGUGGGAUGAACGUUCAAAAC